GAUGAACGCUAGCGAUAGGCUUAACACAUGCAAGUCGAGGGGCAGCAUGGUCUUAGCUUGCUAAGACUGAUGGCGACCGGCGCACGGGUGCGUAACGCGUAUGCAACUUGCCUCACAGAGGGGGAUAACCCGUCGAAAGACGGACUAAUACCGCGUACACUUGGGAUAGGGCAUCCUGACCCAAGGAAAUGAAAUUCGCUGUGAGAUAGGCAUGCGUCCCAUUAGCUAGUUGGUGAGGUAACGGCUCACCAAGGCGACGAUGGGUAGGGGAACUGAGAGGUUGAACCCCCACACUGGUACUGAGACACGGACCAGACUCCUACGGGAGGCAGCAGUGAGGAAUAUUGGUCAAUGGGCGAGAGCCUGAACCAGCCAAGUCGCGUGAAGGAUGACUGUCUUAUGGAUUGUAAACUUCUUUUAUACGGGAAUAACAAGAGCCACGUGUGGCUCCCUGCAUGUACCGGAUGAAUAAGCAUCGGCUAACUCCGUG
This 490-nucleotide ribosomal RNA is filed under the name uncultured bacterium. RNAcentral describes it as "partial 16S ribosomal RNA". It matches the Rfam family "Bacterial small subunit ribosomal RNA", at positions 28 to 507 of the family's 1533-position model. The record is from RNAcentral.